This 339-nucleotide unclassified non-coding RNA is filed under the name soil metagenome. RNAcentral describes it as "partial contains 5.8S ribosomal RNA, internal transcribed spacer 2, and large subunit ribosomal RNA". The stretch from base 1 to 120 matches the Rfam family "5.8S ribosomal RNA", at positions 35 to 154 of the family's 154-position model. The record is from RNAcentral.
GAUGAAGAACGCAGCGAAAUGCGAUACGUAGUGUGAAUUGCAGAAUUCAGUGGAUCAUCGAAUCUUUGAACGCACAUUGCACCUCUCGGUAUUCCGGGAGGUAUGCCUGUUCGAGCGUCAUUUGUACCCUCAAGCUCUGCUUGGUGUUGGGUGUUUGUUCCGCCUCUGUGUGUGAACUCGCCUCAAAACAAUUGGCAGCCGGCGUACUUGUUUCGGAGCGCAGCACAUUUUGCGAUCCAGAUCAACGUACAGCGGCAUCCAAGAAGCCUUAUUUAACGCUCUUGACCUCGGAUCAGGUAGGGAUACCCGCUGAACUUAAGCAUAUCAAUAAGCGGAGGA